UCAAGAAACUUCCACAAUGGGCGAAAGCCUGAUGGAGCGACGUCGCGUGAUGGACGAAGUGCUUCGGCACGUAAACAUCUUUUAUGUGGGAUGAAAUUAUUGACAGUACCACAUGAAUAAGGGGCUCCUAACUCUGUGCCAGCAGGAGCGGUAAUACAGAGGCCCCAAGCGUUAUCCGGAAUCACUGGGCGUAAAGGGUGUCGAGGCGGUUGUAUUAGUCGUUCGUAAAAUCUACGAGCUUAACUUGUAGGCGGCGAACGAAACGGUACGACUUGAGGUUUGGAGAGGUGCGUGGAACUCACGGUGUAGGGGUGAAAUCCGUUGAUAUCGUGGGGAACACCAAAGGCGAAGGCAGCGCACUGGCCAAAAUCUGACGCUCACACACGAAAGCUAGGGUAGCGAAGAGGAUUAGAUACCCAAGUAGUCCCUGAGCGGGCUGGCA
Molecule: ribosomal RNA, 442 nt
Filed under: uncultured bacterium
Lineage: Bacteria
Description: bacterial SSU rRNA
Rfam family: Bacterial small subunit ribosomal RNA
Source: RNAcentral